GGACCCGCACAAGCGGUGGAGUAUGUGGUUUAAUUCGAUGCAACACGAAGAACCUUACCAGGGUUUGAAAUCAUUUCAAAACUCCUUGAAAGAGGAGCCUCCUUCGGGAUGAAAUGACAGGUGGUGCAUGGCUGUCGUCAGCUCGUGUUGUGAAAUGUCGAGUUAAGUCUCGUAACGAGCGCAACCCAUGUCUCUUGUUGCUCACUGAGUGCUUAAGAGAGACUGCCGACCAACAUCGGAGGAAGGUGUGGAUGAUGUCAAGUCAGCAUGCCCCUUACAUCCUGGGCUACACACGUACUACAAUGGUAGGGACAAUGAGCUGCGAUCCUGCGAAGGC
This 337-nucleotide ribosomal RNA is filed under the name uncultured bacterium. RNAcentral's name for it is "bacterial SSU rRNA". It matches the Rfam family "Bacterial small subunit ribosomal RNA", at positions 917 to 1264 of the family's 1533-position model. The record is from RNAcentral.